Molecule: transfer RNA, 73 nt
Filed under: Taeniopygia guttata (zebra finch)
Lineage: Eukaryota; Metazoa; Chordata; Aves; Passeriformes; Estrildidae
Also listed under: 1 other name
Description: tRNA-Tyr (GTA) (tRNA-Tyr-GTA-6-1)
Rfam family: tRNA
About the family: Transfer RNA (tRNA) molecules are approximately 80 nucleotides in length. Their secondary structure includes four short double-helical elements and three loops (D, anti-codon, and T loops). Further hydrogen bonds mediate the characteristic L-shaped molecular structure. tRNAs have two regions of fundamental functional importance: the anti-codon, which is responsible for specific mRNA codon recognition, and the 3' end, to which the tRNAs corresponding amino acid is attached (by aminoacyl-tRNA synthetases). tRNAs cope with the degeneracy of the genetic code in two manners: having more than one tRNA (with a specific anti-codon) for a particular amino acid; and 'wobble' base-pairing, i.e. permitting non-standard base-pairing at the 3rd anti-codon position.
Source: RNAcentral
CCUUCAAUAGCUCAGCUGGUAGAGCGGAGGACUGUAGAUCCUUAGGUCGCUGGUUCAACUCCGGCUCGAAGGA